RNAcentral lists this unclassified non-coding RNA (376 nucleotides) under uncultured Gammaproteobacteria bacterium. RNAcentral's name for it is "partial 16S-23S ribosomal RNA intergenic spacer". Lineage: Bacteria; Pseudomonadati; Pseudomonadota; Gammaproteobacteria. The record is from RNAcentral.
CCUCCUUAUAACGAAGUUACACUUACAGAGUGUUCACACAAAUAAUUAAUUACGAAGUUUUAAGAGAGCUCUAACCCAUGCGCACAGUAUGUGCUCAUCAGUUAGGGUUUUUAACCCGGACGUGUAAACGUCAUGCUCUUUAACAAUUUGGAAAGCUGAUAAAAUAAGGUAAACAUUAUUGUUUAUUUAAUUUGUUAUUCAACAAUUUAAAAAAUAAUUUUGAUUAUCACUGUAAGAGAAAACUCAAGCGUUAUUUAUGUCAAAACGAACAUGCCUAUACAACAUGUUUCGUUAAUAAAUAUGACACAAGACGAUGCAAUCGAGAAUGUGAGAACAUUUAAGGUUGUAUGGUUAAGUGAAUAAGCGUAUACGGUGG